Molecule: ribosomal RNA, 468 nt
Filed under: uncultured bacterium
Lineage: Bacteria
Description: partial 16S ribosomal RNA
Rfam family: Bacterial small subunit ribosomal RNA
Source: RNAcentral
GACGAACGCUGGCGGCGUGCUUAACACAUGCAAGUCGAACGGAAAGGCCCUGCUUUUGUGGGGUGCCCGAGUGGCGAACGGGUGUGUAACACGGGAGUAACCUGCCCUUGACUUUGGGAUAACUUCAGGAAACUGGGGCUAAUACCGGAUAGGAGCUCCUGCUGCAUGGUGGGGGUUGGACAGUUUCGGCGGUUGGGGAUGGACGGGCGGCUUAUCAGCUUGUUGGGGGGGCAGUGGCUUACCAAGGCUUUGACGGGUAGCCGGCCUGAGAGGGUGACCGGCGACAUUGGGACUGCGAUACGGCCCAGAGUCGUACGGGAGGCAGCGGUGGGGAAUAUUGCACAAUGGGCGGAAGCCUGAUGCAGCAGCGCCGCGUGCGGGAAGACGGCCUUCGGGGUGUAAACCGCUUUCGCCUGUGACGAAGCGUGAGUGACGGUAAUGGGUAAAGAAGCACCGGCUAACUACGUG